UCUUCUUGAAAAGAUUGGAAGUCGGGCCUGUCCCCUGAUUUAUAAUUUAAGGACCGCGGUAUUUUUGACCGUGCAAAGGUAGCAUAAUCAUUAGUCUUUUAAUUGAGGGCUGGAAUGAAUGGUUUAACGAAAUAAUAUCUGUCUCGAUAUAAAUAAUUGAAUUUUACUUUUAAGUUAAAAGGCUUAAAUGUUGAUAAGGGACGAGAAGACCCUAUAGAUCUUUAUAAUUUAUUAUAUUUUUAAUAAAUAUAGUUAUUUGCAUUAUUAUAUAAUAAAUUAUUUUAUUGGGGUGAUACGAGAAUAUAUUAGCUUCUUGAUUUUUAACUUAGAUUUAAGAUUAUAUAAUCCUUUAUUAUGGAAUUAAGAUUAAGAUACCUUAGGGAUAACAGCGUAAUCUUGUUGGAAAGUUCUUAUUGAUAAUAAGGAUUGCGACCUCGAUGUUGGAUUAAGAAUAUAAAUUGAUGUAGAUGUUAAUAUUAUUGGUCUGUUC
This 490-nucleotide ribosomal RNA is filed under the name Gnominthus baitabagus. RNAcentral describes it as "partial 16S ribosomal RNA". It matches the Rfam family "Bacterial large subunit ribosomal RNA", at positions 1826 to 2582 of the family's 2925-position model. Lineage: Eukaryota; Metazoa; Arthropoda; Insecta; Orthoptera; Gryllidae. The record is from RNAcentral.